Helianthus annuus (common sunflower) is the source of this 1375-nucleotide long non-coding RNA. RefSeq lists it as uncharacterized. The transcript is spliced from 4 exons. Lineage: Eukaryota; Viridiplantae; Streptophyta; Magnoliopsida; Asterales; Asteraceae. The record is from RefSeq and is a predicted model, not a curated record.
UUCAAAAACCAAUAAGUUAAUUGUUUCAAAAAGCUUAGCCAAACAUGCCCUAAAUUCCUCCAUUAUCAUCCCAAACAAUGAUCAGUCACUCUCACAAUCCUCUUCUUUCCUCCAAUUAACCCCCAAAACACUUCAAUUUCACCUGUAAUUUCAUCUACAACAACAAUUGAAAGUUAAUCGCGAUGGAUCUGUGUGCUGUAUAGAUCAAAGGUGCAGCUCGAUGCCCCUACGUAUCGAAGAAUACUCACGUUUACGAUAAACCUAAUUCUCUGUGGAGAUCGAAGAAGGUGUUCGACAUCAGUGUGACGAAAUCAACGGUUUCUUCUCGUCAAUCGCUUGUUGUGCGAGCUACGGGGAAGAAGAAUUCUCAGAACAAUUCUGCUUCUUCGUCUUCUACAGGUUAAAUCUAACUACUAUAAUAAAAGAAACCAACUUUUGGACACAUGUCAUUCAUUGAAGUUCCAGGACUGAAGCUGUGCAAAUGAUAAAGUUCAGUAGUAUAAAUACAAGAACCUGAAGUGUUUCCAUUACAAGAGCACACCACUGCAAGUCACUUACAAUCGUUGAAGAUGUCAGCAAAAACUGAACACAGUUGUGACGUAUUACUACAAUCCAUGCUUAAGGGAAAUGCUAUUGAAAACGGCUCUAUGAAUCUCCAAGUUGAAGGCCUUGAGAUUCCAAAGGGGUUUGGUUUACACCUCCUUUGCUCAGAGGACAUAGUUGUAGGCUGGAACUUCCAGAAAACUGGAGCAAUGACUUCUCCGGUUUCUUAAUGUGCCUUGUUAUUUCAGAUAUCUUCUACAUACAUCAAAAUGAGAUAUGGAUAAGUAUGAAGCAGGCGAGUGGUAUGGAUUCUGGAAAUGAUGUGGUUUGGGAGGAGAGUGAUGGUGAUAGUAAAAUGCAUACAUUUGUGUGUUAUGUUUCAUUUGAUUCAUUGAGACGCACUUCUUGGUGGAACCAAACAUACAAUGCGAUUUCUUUUAACAUUGCAAGUACUUUGACGUAUAGUAAUCUCGAGUUGCAACGUGGUUUUGGAGUUAGACUCAUGGACAAGAAAUGUAUAAGUGGUCUAACGGAAACAUCAACAAAUUCUUCUUAUCAUAUCCCUAACUUCAAAAUUCUCCAAGACUCGGCAUCUCAACUUAAGGUAUCCGUAACUCCACAUAGUGCGCCUGUAUGAAUAGAAAUGGAAGUAAACUUGAGUACAACGUUGGAGAGUAUGGUAUCUAAUAGGUAUGUUUAAUUCGAUGAUCGAAUGUAGGAAGUAAGAAUAGUGGAGAGUAUUAAAGCUUGUUCAAGUGAUGUUUCAAUUGGCAUGUAUUAAUAAACAUGUUUAUUGCAAUCUAAAUUUUUAAUUUCAAGUGAUGAUUACUAA